AUGGUACUCCCUCCGUCCGGAAAUACUUGUCAUAGAAAUGGAUGUAUUUAGAUGUAUUUUAGUUCUACGUACAUUCAUCUUUAUCCAUUUGUGCGGCUAGUAAUUCCGGAUGGAGGGAGUAUAUA
Molecule: non-coding RNA, 125 nt
Organism: Hordeum vulgare subsp. vulgare (domesticated barley)
Lineage: Eukaryota; Viridiplantae; Streptophyta; Magnoliopsida; Poales; Poaceae
Source: Rfam